Long non-coding RNA from Xenopus laevis (African clawed frog), 797 nucleotides. RefSeq lists it as uncharacterized. The transcript has 3 exons. Lineage: Eukaryota; Metazoa; Chordata; Amphibia; Anura; Pipidae. The record is from RefSeq and is a predicted model, not a curated record.
AAUCAAGAUGCCAAUCAGGAAUCGGGGCGGUCCUACUAAUGAACAACGUGAAUCACAGGCUCUGGGCGUGGUCGAUUAAAUUAUAAUAACCAAUCAUAGCCUGUAAAAAGCAAAGCUCCCCGCCAAUCGGAGUGUUUAAUCUAAGCGAUAUUUUGUCCUUCGGAGACACACGUUUGUGGAUUGGAUCAGUAAAUCGACUCCAGUGAGAGAAGAACCUCGUUUCAAGUCUGGGAUUUUAACAGCUUACGGAAAAAGAAUAAGUCAAUUGGACACUUUUGUAACACGGUAUGAGCACUUCAAGCACUUGCACAGCACUGGCAUCUUGUGGUGGAUUUUAGGUACUGCAUUUUUAAGUCUCUACAAUGAUAUGUACUUUUUGGAAUGUCUAGCACUGUCUAGCACUGUCACAACAAGGGAAAGUUGUGCUCACCACUAAUUUUUAAAACCAUUAAGCGUUUUUUUUAAGCGGAGCCGAGUAAAGUGGAAAGUCUUUAACAGCAGCUCUGUGGUGGGACCCCCCGAAACCAGUCUGCAAACGGUGGUACAGGGGCGCGGGGAGCUGAUCAUUUUUGGUGGGCUCAUGGACAAGAAACAGAACGUCAAAUAUUACCCCAAAACCAACGCCUUGUAUUUUGUACGGGCCAAGAGAUAAUGUCAUGGUAUCGCUAACCAACCAGACUCUUCAUUUUCCCAGCCCCGCCCGCUUAUUUGCUUUAUACUGUUUUACACUACUUGUUCCCUUGUGUUUUUAGCUCUCGAUAUGAUGACACGAGCCAAUAAAGAAAAUAACAGCUGUA